This is a long non-coding RNA of Lolium rigidum, 470 nucleotides long. RefSeq lists it as uncharacterized. The transcript is spliced from 3 exons. The record is from RefSeq and is a predicted model, not a curated record. Lineage: Eukaryota; Viridiplantae; Streptophyta; Magnoliopsida; Poales; Poaceae.
UCCGUCUUCAAUCGUCGUCUUCAAGCCUCAGCACAACGCACGCACGAAUAAUGUAGUCAGUUUCUGCCGUUUCAUCCCCAAUUGAUUCCGGCGUUUUCCUGCACCAAUUGUUGUACCGUUUGUUGCUACUUAAGCUCCACACCUUCCUCUCUAUUUACUCCCAAACGACACUUCCUUAGAGCCCCCAGGCUGCUCGAAUUCGAGCUCGAAGGUCCGCAGCACUAUCGCGCGACAGCGGCAAUUUCAUCCGUGAGCGUCGGCCGUGGGAAGAAUUUUUCAGCGAGCGAUUUCGGGAGAGAGCGUGCCUGAACGGUCAUCGUGUAGACCUUCUGCGACACAUCAACUUCGGAAGCCUCUUCGGCAACGUUGUCAUCAACCUGUGUAGCUGCGCCAUCGUUUCCGACAUCAUCGACCAUCUGCGCCGAUUGUGAUUGUGCUGAUUGCAACGAGUGUUUUUGCGAAGAGUGUAC